UACGAAGGGGGCUAGCGUUGCUCGGAAUCACUGGGCGUAAAGCGCACGUAGGCGGCUUGUUAAGUCAGGGGUGAAAUCCUGGAGCUCAACUCCAGAACUGCCUUCGAUACUGAGAGUCUCGAGUCCGAGAGAGGUGAGUGGAACUGCGAGUGUAGAGGUGAAAUUCGUAGAUAUUCGCAAGAACACCAGUGGCGAAGGCGGCUCACUGGCUCGGUACUGACGCUGAGGCACGAAAGCGUGGGGAGCAAACAGG
Molecule: ribosomal RNA, 253 nt
Filed under: uncultured bacterium
Lineage: Bacteria
Description: partial 16S ribosomal RNA
Rfam family: Bacterial small subunit ribosomal RNA
Source: RNAcentral